GGAUGAACGCUAGCUACAGGCUUAACACAUGCAAGUCGAGGGGUAGCAGGGUAGCAAUACCGCUGACGACCGGCGCACGGGUGAGUAACACGUAUCCAACCUUCCCAUAACUCAGGGAUAGCCUUUCGAAAGAAAGAUUAAUACCUGAUAGUACUUUUUCAAGGCAUCUUGAGAAAGUUAAAGAUUUAUUGGUUAUGGAUGGGGAUGCGUUCCAUUAGAUAGUUGGUGAGGUAACGGCUCACCAAGUCUUCGAUGGAUAGGGGUUCUGAGAGGAAGGUCCCCCACAUUGGUACUGAGACACGGACCAAACUCCUACGGGAGGCAGCAGUGAGGAAUAUUGGUCAAUGGGCGAGAGCCUGAACCAGCCAAGUAGCGUGAAGGAAUGAAGGUCCUAUGGAUUGUAAACUUCUUUUAUAGUAGAAUAAAGUGAUCCACGUGUGGAUUUUUGUAUGUAUACUAUGAAUAAGGAUCGGCUAACUCCGUGCCAGCCGCCGC
RNAcentral lists this ribosomal RNA (495 nucleotides) under uncultured bacterium. RNAcentral describes it as "bacterial SSU rRNA". It matches the Rfam family "Bacterial small subunit ribosomal RNA", at positions 27 to 518 of the family's 1533-position model. The record is from RNAcentral.